Molecule: long non-coding RNA, 642 nt
Filed under: Dromaius novaehollandiae (emu)
Lineage: Eukaryota; Metazoa; Chordata; Aves; Casuariiformes; Dromaiidae
Description: lncRNA (ENSDNVG00000002591.1)
Source: RNAcentral
GAAGUGAAAGGAGAAAAAAAAGUAAGGCUCAGAUUUUUGUAGGUCGGUUUAUCUGUUCUUCCUGCCUUUAAAUACCACAUAUGUUAAUGAAAGGUAUAUUCUUAAAUGAUCCUUUGGUUUUUAUAGCCUAAAAACAAUCGAAACAAGAAGCAUCUCUUCAGUGACACAGACACAGACUACAGAGGUGAUGAGAGCAAGACCGACAUCAGUUGGCUACAAGAAUCAAAUAGGAAAUCUAAACCACAGUUAAUUGAUUACUGUAGAAGUAAAAACUUAGGGAAAUCAAUAAGCACAGAAAAAAGUUUGUGGGAAUAAAAGUGACUCCAUAAUCUUACUGCUAAAACUGUAAAUGUCAAACAUCUGCUUCUUCUAAUACUUUAUUGUAACAGCAGAUAAAUUCUCUGGACCUGAAUGCCAGAUGGAUUCAUCUAAAGGAGAAAAUACAAAAAAGAAAAAGAUAACCAAAUGUAAAAAACCAAGUCCUGGAACUGAUGAAAUGAUGGAACAAACCACCAGACCAAAACGAUCUCGAAGAGCUGUCUUAGCAAAAAAUUACAAGGAACCUUCAAGUUCAGAGUCAGAAGGGAAGUCUUCAGCAUGCACCUCUAAGAAAGAGAAAACAAAAGCACAGGUAAAUGGUUG